RNAcentral lists this ribosomal RNA (468 nucleotides) under uncultured bacterium. RNAcentral describes it as "partial 16S ribosomal RNA". It matches the Rfam family "Bacterial small subunit ribosomal RNA", at positions 28 to 507 of the family's 1533-position model. The record is from RNAcentral.
GACGAACGCUGGCGGCGUGCUUAACACAUGCAAGUCGAACGGAAAGGCCCUGCUUUUGUGGGGUGCUCGAGUGGCGAACGGGUGAGUAACACGUGAGUAACCUGCCCUUGACUUUGGGAUAACUUCAGGAAACUGGGGCUAAUACCGGAUAGGAGCUCCUGCUGCAUGGUGGGGGUUGGAAAGUUUCGGCGGUUGGGGAUGGACGCGCGGCUUAUCAGCUUGUUGGUGGGGUAGUGGCUUACCAAGGCUUUGACGGGUAGCCGGCCUGAGAGGGUGACCAGCCACAUUGGUACUGAGAUACGGCCCAGUCUCCUACGGGAGGCAGCAGUGGGGAAUAUUGCACAAUGGGCGGAAGCCUGAUGCAGCAGCGCCGCGUGCGGGAUGACGGCCUUCGUGUUGUAAACCGCUUUCGCCUGUGACGAAGCGUGAGUGACGGUAAUAGGUAAAGAAGCACCGGCUAACUACGUG